GGGAAAUAUAAUUACGAAAAUACAAUAUACAAAAGCAGCUUCUCAUGAACAGAUUGAAUGAUAGUUUUCUAUUGUUAUGUGAUAGAUACUGAGUUUUCUAUUGUUAUAUAUGAUAGAUACUGAGUUUUCUAUCUUUACGUAGUACAGAAGAUUUAUAAAACAGAAGGUUUAACUUGCAGGCGGUUUAACUUGCCACGAUUGAUAUGCUUUAUACCUUCGGAGUAAACGAUAAAAAUUCAUAAUUCAUAAAAAAGUCACAGGCACGCUAAGAUAAUUUCAAUAAAAUAACGUAGCCUACCACAUAAAAAUUGUGCAAUACUGCAAAUCAUUCAUAUGACAACAAAAAUCAAUAACAAUCGAUAUAUGUAAAGCAACAAGUUUAUGUUCACUUUUGCGCGAAAAGGCAUUCGUAGGCUUCGUACCUCCACCAACAAAUAAAGUUAUGUAUCAUAUACAUAAAUUUAAUAUACCACGGAGGCAAUUGCAUGCAUUCUGCCCGACAAAGCAAGGCAAACUUUUUGUAAUUUUCCAACACACUUUCAUCCAAAUUUAACCAAAAUUAAAUAGAUUUGUCCAUGAACAAUGUCCAUUAGUCGCACAAAUCGUCGUUUGAAUAUACGUUUGAUAGUUUUUGAAUUUUCGUGCUAACAAACGAAGACGAAACAUCUGCGUUUGUACGUGUGUGCACGUGACUGGCGAAGGUAUUUCGACCUACCAUGCUUCCACCACCUCCCAUAUCUGUGCUUAUAUAUGUAAGAAAGUAAUGAUUUGGAGGUGGGGUAUUGCCUGCAUAAUAUUUCAUGCGCUUUAUAUGGUAAUGUUAAAGUUAAUAAGUAUAUUCGUGCUUGUGCGAAGUGCUGUGAAUAUAUAGGUUUCGACGAACCGUGCUGAAUGUUCGAUAAAAGUUAUCUUUUUAACCCGGAUAACUUCAACAAAUAUGUCAGAAGAUUUGUAAUCCAUACAUAACGUUGUGCCUGGAUUACAAAUCUUCAGACAGUUUGUUUCUACAUUUGGUGCAGUUUCUAGUUUUACUUCGGCAAUG
This is a non-coding RNA of Paramuricea clavata, 1042 nucleotides long. Lineage: Eukaryota; Metazoa; Cnidaria; Anthozoa; Malacalcyonacea; Plexauridae. The record is from the annotation of a GenBank genome assembly.